CAGUAGCCGCGGGAAUACAGAGGAUGCAAGCGUUAUCCGGAAUGAUUGGGCGUAAAGCGUCUGUAGGUGGCUUUUCAAGUCCGCCGUCAAAUCCCAGGGCUCAACCCUGGACAGGCGGUGGAAACUACCAAGCUAGAGUACGGUAGGGGCAGAGGGAAUUUCCGGUGGAGCGGUGAAAUGCGUUGAGAUCGAAAAGAACACCAACGACGAAAGCACUCUGCUGGGUCGACACUGACACUGAGAGACGAAAGCUAGGGGAGCAAAUGGGAUUAGAUACCCCAGUAGUCCCUGUCUCUUAUAC
This 301-nucleotide ribosomal RNA is filed under the name uncultured bacterium. Its description in RNAcentral is "partial 16S ribosomal RNA". It matches the Rfam family "Bacterial small subunit ribosomal RNA", at positions 509 to 807 of the family's 1533-position model. The record is from RNAcentral.